Molecule: non-coding RNA, 303 nt
Organism: Danio aesculapii
Lineage: Eukaryota; Metazoa; Chordata; Actinopteri; Cypriniformes; Danionidae
Source: the annotation of a RefSeq genome assembly
AUGAUCUCUUCAUCUCUAGUGCUAUUUCUGGCAGUAGUUUCCUGUGUUGAUUCAUAUGAACUCACUCAGCCUGAGUCUCUGACUGUCCGUCCUGAUGAUUCUCUCACUAUCAGCUGCAGAGUCUCAUAUUCAGUCACAGGCUACAGCACAGGCUGGAUUCGUCAGCCUGCAGGAAAAGCUCUGGAGAGGAUUGGAGUUAUCUUUUAUGAUGGAGACUUAGUCUACAAGGAUUGUCUGAAAAGCGAGUUCAGCAUUAGCAGAGACACUUCCAGUAACACUGCAAGGAAAAAUUAUGAAAGCUGA